RNAcentral lists this unclassified non-coding RNA (252 nucleotides) under fungal sp. Its description in RNAcentral is "partial internal transcribed spacer region". The stretch from base 1 to 46 matches the Rfam family "Eukaryotic small subunit ribosomal RNA", at positions 1786 to 1831 of the family's 1831-position model. Lineage: Eukaryota; Fungi. The record is from RNAcentral.
AAGUCGUAACAAGGUAACCGUAGGUGAACCUGCGGUUGGAUCAUUAACAAAUGAUUUGGUUUUAAACCAAAACACAUUGUGCAAUUAUAUCUGUCUCUGGUGGUUGGUUCUAUGGUCUCUUGUUGUUUGAAAAUCCACAAGAGAUCACAAUCACCAAAUGAACAAACAUUUUGAUUUUUUUUUUUUAUGUCUGAAUCAUUCACUAUUUGUGCAAUGAAAAAACAACUUUUGACAACGGAUCUCUUGGCUCUC